RNAcentral lists this ribosomal RNA (534 nucleotides) under uncultured bacterium. Its description in RNAcentral is "bacterial SSU rRNA". It matches the Rfam family "Bacterial small subunit ribosomal RNA", at positions 540 to 1070 of the family's 1533-position model. The record is from RNAcentral.
GUUGUCCGGAUUUAUUGGGCGUAAAGGGCUCGUAGGUGGUUGAUCGCGUCGGAAGUGUAAUCUUGGGGCUUAACCCUGAGCGUGCUUUCGAUACGGGUUGACUUGAGGAAGGUAGGGGAGAAUGGAAUUCCUGGUGGAGCGGUGGAAUGCGCAGAUAUCAGGAGGAACACCAGUGGCGAAGGCGGUUCUCUGGGCCUUUCCUGACGCUGAGGAGCGAAAGCGUGGGGAGCGAACAGGCUUAGAUACCCUGGUAGUCCACGCUGUAAACGGUGGGUACUAGGUGUGGGGUCCAUUCCACGGGUUCCGUGCCGUAGCUAACGCUUUAAGUACCCCGCCUGGGGAGUACGGCCGCAAGGCUAAAACUCAAAGGAAUUGACGGGGCCCCGCACAAGCGGCGGAGCAUGCGGAUUAAUUCGAUGCAACGCGUAGAACCUUACCUGGGUUUGACAUGGAUCGGGAGUGCUCAGAGAUGGGUGUGCCUCUUUUGGGGUCGGUUCACAGGUGGUGCAUGGCUGUCGUCAGCUCGUGUCGUGA